Transfer RNA from Aspergillus aculeatus ATCC 16872, 107 nucleotides. It matches the Rfam family "tRNA". Rfam says of the family: Transfer RNA (tRNA) molecules are approximately 80 nucleotides in length. Their secondary structure includes four short double-helical elements and three loops (D, anti-codon, and T loops). Lineage: Eukaryota; Fungi; Ascomycota; Eurotiomycetes; Eurotiales; Aspergillaceae. The record is from Rfam.
GUCUCCAUGGUGUAGUGGUUAUCACGUGGGUCUCAUAUGCAAAUAUGACUUGGAAGUCGCACUUCCAGGAUAUCCCAAGGCCGGGAGUUCGAUCCUCCCUGGGGACA